GCUGGAUUAGCUCAGUUGGUAGAGCAGCUGACUUGUAAUCAGCAGGUCGCGGGUUCGAGUCCCAUAUCCAGCUCCA
RNAcentral lists this transfer RNA (76 nucleotides) under Campylobacterales bacterium. Its description in RNAcentral is "tRNA-Thr". It matches the Rfam family "tRNA". From Rfam's summary of the family: Transfer RNA (tRNA) molecules are approximately 80 nucleotides in length. Their secondary structure includes four short double-helical elements and three loops (D, anti-codon, and T loops). Lineage: Bacteria; Pseudomonadati; Campylobacterota; Epsilonproteobacteria; Campylobacterales. The record is from RNAcentral.